RNAcentral lists this unclassified non-coding RNA (351 nucleotides) under Hevea brasiliensis (rubber tree). Lineage: Eukaryota; Viridiplantae; Streptophyta; Magnoliopsida; Malpighiales; Euphorbiaceae. The record is from RNAcentral.
GUCAAAUCUCUUAAGCUUUAGCACAUCAAACAUAUGUUUUCUAGUGUAAAAGUACGUACUUAUUAGGACGACAAGGCAUAUGGUCCCACCAUCUUUAGGGUUUCUAUUGCGAAUAUGAAGAUGGAUGCAGCAAUAAAUUAAUAUCCAAGUCAAAAAGCUAGAAAGAAAGGAAAGGAUUGCAUUGUCUGCAAGAUAUAUGAGUUAUGUUUCAUCCAGUUUGCUUUUUCAUUUCUUUAACAUAUUUCAUCUUCUUUCUUUUUCUUCUUUGUUUCAUUAUUGAGAUGAAGUCAUUUCUAUUUUUCAACAUUUUGUCAAAGCCUAAUACCAGAUCACAUGUACAUAAGUUAAUUA